This 460-nucleotide ribosomal RNA is filed under the name Nocardiaceae bacterium 'ARUP UnID 463'. Its description in RNAcentral is "bacterial SSU rRNA". It matches the Rfam family "Bacterial small subunit ribosomal RNA", at positions 27 to 504 of the family's 1533-position model. The record is from RNAcentral. Lineage: Bacteria; Bacillati; Actinomycetota; Actinomycetes; Mycobacteriales; Nocardiaceae.
GGACGAACGCUGGCGGCGUGCUUAACACAUGCAAGUCGAGCGGUAAGGCCCUUCGGGGUACACGAGCGGCGAACGGGUGAGUAACACGUGGGUGAUCUGCCUCGCACUUCGGGAUAAGCCUGGGAAACUGGGUCUAAUACYGGAUAUGACCAUUGAUCGCAUGGUUGGUGGUGGAAAGAUUUAUCGGUGCGAGAUGGGCCCGCGGCCUAUCAGCUUGUUGGUGGGGUAAUGGCCUACCAAGGCGACGACGGGUAGCCGGCCUGAGAGGGCGACCGGCCACACUGGGACUGAGACACGGCCCAGACUCCUACGGGAGGCAGCAGUGGGGAAUAUUGCACAAUGGGCGAAAGCCUGAUGCAGCGACGCCGCGUGAGGGAUGACGGCCUUCGGGUUGUAAACCUCUUUCGACAGGGACGAAGCGCAAGUGACGGUACCUGUAGAAGAAGCACCGGCCAACUAC